AGAGUUUGAUCAUGGCUCAGGACGAACGCUGGCGGCGUGCUUAACACAUGCAAGUCGAGCGAUGAAACUUCUUCGGAAGUGGAUUAGCGGCGGACGGGUGAGUAACACGUGGGCAACCUGCCCUAUAGAGGGGAAUAGCCUUCCGAAAGGAAGAUUAAUACCCCAUAAGAUUGUAGUUUCACAUGGAACAGCAAUUAAAGGAGCAAUCCGCUAUAGGAUGGGCCCGCGGCGCAUUAGCUAGUUGGUGAGGUAACGGCUCACCAAGGCGACGAUGCGUAGCCGACCUGAGAGGGUGAUCGGCCACAUUGGGACUGAGACACGGCCCAGGCUCCUACGGGAGGCAGCAGUGGGGAAUAUUGCACAAUGGGGGAAACCCUGAUGCAGCAACGCCGCGUGAGUGAUGAAGGCCUUCGGGUUGUAAAGCUCUGUCUUUGGGGACGAUAAUGACGGUACCCAAGGAGGAAGCCACGGCUAACUACGUGCCAGCAGCCGCGGUAAUACGUAGGUGGCAAGCGUUGUCCGGAUUUACUGGGCGUAAAGGGAGCGUAGGCGGAUUUUUAAGUGGGAUGUGAAAUACUCGGGCUCAACCUGAGUGCUGCAUUCCAAACUGGAAGUCUAGAGUACAGGAGGGGAAAGUGGAAUUCCUAGUGUAGCGGUGAAAUGCGUAGAUAUUAGGAAGAACACCGGUGGCGAAGGCGACUUUCUGGACUGUAACUGACGCUGAGGCUCGAAAGCGUGGGGACGAACAGGAUUAGAUACCCUAGUAGUCC
Molecule: ribosomal RNA, 770 nt
Filed under: uncultured bacterium
Lineage: Bacteria
Description: bacterial SSU rRNA
Rfam family: Bacterial small subunit ribosomal RNA
Source: RNAcentral